Long non-coding RNA from Numida meleagris (helmeted guineafowl), 1606 nucleotides. RefSeq lists it as uncharacterized. Lineage: Eukaryota; Metazoa; Chordata; Aves; Galliformes; Numididae. The transcript is spliced from 3 exons. The record is from RefSeq and is a predicted model, not a curated record.
AGCAGGAACGUAGCUCCUGAUACAGUGCUACAUAUCAGAGCACCAAGUGACCACGCAUUCCAUGCCUAGCACAUCACAAUUGUUGCCCCCAACAUCUGCCGUCAGGGCAUUUGUUGGCAAUUUCUCCCCAGAGUCUCCGAGGUCUCUGCUGGAACCUGAAAUUAUCUAGAGCCACCUACACCCAGGGUUGGACAGACUGAAAACUGUCAUGAAGAUAUAGGCAAAGUCACUGGACAGAAGAGCUAUGCUAUUCUCACCAAAUGGACUCUCAGCGGUGCCUGUUUACAGUAGAGAAUCUGAUCACUUAACCAACAGAUUGAAUUAUCUGAAAACUCUUCUCACACACACAGUCGAGGCAAAUACAGCUGACAAACUCAUCCGGCAACUCUACCUAAUCUCCUGCGUAUGAAGACUGCAGGACUUGCCUGUGUGAAUGUAAAACAUACGCAGAUAAACCUGUGAUUCUUUUGCUAAUGCAAGGCAGCAGUAAGCAUAUAAACGUAGUUCUUAAAUAAUCUGCCCAAACAAAGAGAAAUUGGCCAUAAACUCUGUUAAGUAGAAAACAUCACCAAGAUCAAUAGAUGUAAAGUAUAAACUCAUGAUUUUGUCUCCUCAAGAAACUUUGCGUGUAAUGAAACAUCUGAGUAGUGAGCAAUGACCCUGCAAGGCACUAUAGUGAACUGGAAGAGAAGGAAAGAGAUUUUAUUUGGCAACUGGCUUGUUGCUUUGCCUCAUAGAAUCACCAGCAUUCCUGCUCAAAUUGAGAUAUCUCUCUGCAGUACAUAAUGAGUCACUCACCACCUUGUUGGGUAAUCUCCUAGAGGGAAGUUCAGACAUUUCGUUCAGACUGAGUUGAUGUAACCAUAUACUGGCAUACCUUAUCAUUGGGGAAAAUCAUCUCAGCAUCUUUCUAUUUGCAGAAAUUGAAGCUUUUAGAGGCCUUGCAAGGAAAAAGCUAAAAAGGUGCUAGAUCUUGCUACAUGAAAUUUGCCGUGUUCAGCAGCAGAAGAAGAUCUUAUGUCCUUUGAAGUAAUACGUCUGCAAUUUACGGAAGUAGAUUUGAGUUGCCUUGGCUCUGAAUGUUCUCAGCUGGAGAAUAAAGUACUUUCAUUUUGCACAGAACAUUUGUUUUCCACACACUCAGUUCUUCAGAAAGAAAAUCAGUUUUGUCUGAAAAUUGCCAUAAUCUCAUCAGAGGUUGUCGCCAUCUAUGCACACCCAUUGCUUGACACCCUAUCAAGUAGGCUUCUGGAGGACUGGAGAAGCAAGUUUCCCAGGCUUUUCAUGCCCCAGCCUCCACAGCUCUGCCAUAUGGACUGUCCUGAAACUGGGGCUAUCUGGUUUUGCUGCAACACCUGAAGUGAGAAUGGCAGAUGACAGGAAAAGCCAUGGUUUUUAUAGGAACUUCAAAAUAUUCUUGUUUGAAAAUCCACCCAUUUCAUGGGAUUCUUUAAACAAAAUAGUAUAGAAGUUCAGCUCCAGAUACACAGGAAAUAAGUGUUUGUCAUAGCGGAACUUUCUGAAUGUUAAAAAUCUUCCAGAGCAUAAUUCCUGUUCCUGAGCUGAACUUUCCAGAGGCAGUAGCUCUGAGCCAUGAGACAAAUAA